CUACGUGCCAGCAGCCGCGGUAAUACGGAAGGUCCAGGCGUUAUCCGGAUUUAUUGGGUUUAAAGGGUGCGUAGGCCGUUUGAUAAGCGUGCUGUGAAAUAUAGUGGCUCAACCUCUAUCGUGCAGCGCGAACUGUCGAACUUGAGUGCGUAGUAGGUAGGCGGAAUUCGUGGUGUAGCGGUGAAAUGCUUAGAUAUCACGAAGAACUCCGAUUGCGAAGGCAGCUUACCGUAACGUUACUGACGCUUAAGCACGAAGGUGCGGGUAUCGAACAGGAUUAGAUACCCUGGUAGUCCGCACAGUAAACGAUGGAUGCUCGCUGUUGGCCUUUAUGGUCAGUGGCUUAGCGAAAGCGUUAAGCAUCCCACCUGGGGAGUACGCCGGCAACGGUGAAACUCAAAGGAAUUGACGGGGGCCCGCACAAGCGGAGGAACAUGUGGUUUAAUUCGAUGAUACGCGAGGAACCUUACCCGGGCUUGA
Molecule: ribosomal RNA, 480 nt
Filed under: uncultured bacterium
Lineage: Bacteria
Description: bacterial SSU rRNA
Rfam family: Bacterial small subunit ribosomal RNA
Source: RNAcentral